RNAcentral lists this ribosomal RNA (253 nucleotides) under uncultured bacterium. RNAcentral's name for it is "partial 16S ribosomal RNA". It matches the Rfam family "Bacterial small subunit ribosomal RNA", at positions 524 to 776 of the family's 1533-position model. RNAcentral also lists the same sequence under 1 other name. The record is from RNAcentral.
UACGUAGGGUGCGAGCGUUGUCCGGAAUUACUGGGCGUAAAGAGUUCGUAGGCGGUUUGUCGCGUCGUUCGUGAAAACUUGGGGCUUAACUCCAAGCGUGCGGGCGAUACGGGCAGACUUGAGUACUACAGGGGAGACUGGAAUUCCUGGUGUAGCGGUGAAAUGCGCAGAUAUCAGGAGGAACACCGGUGGCGAAGGCGGGUCUCUGGGUAGUAACUGACGCUGAGGAACGAAAGCGUGGGUAGCGAACAGG